This 454-nucleotide ribosomal RNA is filed under the name uncultured bacterium. RNAcentral's name for it is "bacterial SSU rRNA". It matches the Rfam family "Bacterial small subunit ribosomal RNA", at positions 28 to 478 of the family's 1533-position model. The record is from RNAcentral.
GAUGAACGCUGGCGGCGUGCUUAACACAUGCAAGUCGAACGGAGGACCCUUGACGGAGUUUUCGGACAACGGAUAGGAAUCCUUAGUGGCGGACGGGUGAGUAACGCGUGAGGAACCUGCCUUGGAGGGGGGAAUAACACAGAGAAAUUUGUGCUAAUACCGCAUGAUGCAGUUGGGUCGCAUGGCUCUGACUGCCAAAGAUUUAUCGCUCUGAGAUGGCCUCGCGUCUGAUUAGCUAGUUGGUAGGGUAACGGCCUACCAAGGCGACGAUCAGUAGCCGGACUGAGAGGUUGACCGGCCACAUUGGGACUGAGACACGGCCCAGACUCCUACGGGAGGCAGCAGUGGGGAAUAUUGGGCAAUGGGCGCAAGCCUGACCCAGCAACGCCGCGUGAAGGAAGAAGGCUUUCGGGUUGUAAACUUCUUUUAUGAGGGACGAAGGAAGUGACGGUAC